This 170-nucleotide unclassified non-coding RNA is filed under the name uncultured Rasamsonia. RNAcentral describes it as "sequence contains ITS2". Lineage: Eukaryota; Fungi; Ascomycota; Eurotiomycetes; Eurotiales; Trichocomaceae. The record is from RNAcentral.
CUGUACCUCAAGCCCGGCUUGUGUGUUGGGCCAACCGUCCCUCGGGACGGUGACCCGAAAGGCAGUGGCGGCGUCGCGUCCCGGUCCUUAAAGCGUAUGGGGCUUUGUCACCCGCUUUGGAGGCCGGCCGACCCCGUAGCCCAUCGUGUGGAUCUUCCACAUUUCAUUCU